RNAcentral lists this ribosomal RNA (598 nucleotides) under Staphylococcus aureus. Its description in RNAcentral is "partial 23S ribosomal RNA". It matches the Rfam family "Bacterial large subunit ribosomal RNA", at positions 89 to 684 of the family's 2925-position model. Lineage: Bacteria; Bacillati; Bacillota; Bacilli; Caryophanales; Staphylococcaceae. The record is from RNAcentral.
UAAGUAAGCUUUGAUCCAGAGAUUUCCGAAUGGGGAAACCCAGCAUGAGUUAUGUCAUGUUAUCGAUAUGUGAAUACAUAGCAUAUCAGAAGGCACACCCGGAGAACUGAAACAUCUUAGUACCCGGAGGAAGAGAAAGAAAAUUCGAUUCCCUUAGUAGCGGCGAGCGAAACGGGAAGAGCCCAAACCAACAAGCUUGCUUGUUGGGGUUGUAGGACACUCUAUACGGAGUUACAAAGGACGACAUUAGACGAAUCAUCUGGAAAGAUGAAUCAAAGAAGGUAAUAAUCCUGUAGUCGAAAAUGUUGUCUCUCUUGAGUGGAUCCUGAGUACGACGGAGCACGUGAAAUUCCGUCGGAAUCUGGGAGGACCAUCUCCUAAGGCUAAAUACUCUCUAGUGACCGAUAGUGAACCAGUACCGUGAGGGAAAGGUGAAAAGCACCCCGGAAGGGGAGUGAAAUAGAACCUGAAACCGUGUGCUUACAAGUAGUCAGAGCCCGUUAAUGGGUGAUGGCGUGCCUUUUGUAGAAUGAACCGGCGAGUUACGAUUUGAUGCAAGGUUAAGCAGUAAAUGUGGAGCCGUAGCGAAAGCGAGUCU